GGCAUGUCAACACUGAGCUUAGGAGAAUCUAAUGGCGAAGCAGGGCCGUCAUCAUUGUCAUUAAAGCUGCCUGGCGGGUCAGAUAGACAAUCUGCUUUCCAUGCUAAAGCUCCCUAAAAUGGUUCGAUGGUGGAUUCAAGUACGAGCCCGAUCCAUGCAGUCUAGUGACCCCGCAUUAAGAAAGCACCCCAAAACUGGAGGUGUCCCCAGUGAUACAAAGUCUUUUUGUUUAUACAGGAUCAAUAAACUUCAAUCCUGACUAGCUUUUUUAGUGUACUAUAUAGUGUUGUAUAGUGGAGUUAUGACGUGGCACUUGAUUAUCUAAGUGGCUAACGUAUUGUUGAUUUUUUCUUAAUAAUGACUGCAAUUUUGGUUUGUAAGGAAUGAUUUCUUGAUUUCUGUAAGGUCAUGACCCUGAUCCUAUUAUGCGAAGUGAUUUUAGCUUUCUGCAAGUUUGCUCUCUUUUCCCCCUUCUCAGUAGUUGGGGCUAGACUUCAUAUUAUUUGGCAUACUUCACUUUCAAAUUCUGCAACUACGAUAAAAUGAAAAGAAAGAAAAAGCAUGCAUCUCUGCUAUAUUUGUCAUCUCAUAAACUGAUAUUAGCUCUAAUUAUCUCCUUAGUUAACUGAGCUUAACAUUAUCUAUGAUAUGCUAACUUUGUCAGUAGGCAGUUCUGAACUCUACUGUGGUUGUCAACCUAUUUUCUUU
This 708-nucleotide long non-coding RNA is filed under the name Phoenix dactylifera (date palm). RNAcentral describes it as "long non-coding RNA (PDAC_LNC017312)". Lineage: Eukaryota; Viridiplantae; Streptophyta; Magnoliopsida; Arecales; Arecaceae. The record is from RNAcentral.